Molecule: ribosomal RNA, 1000 nt
Filed under: uncultured bacterium
Lineage: Bacteria
Description: bacterial SSU rRNA
Rfam family: Bacterial small subunit ribosomal RNA
Source: RNAcentral
UGGGGAAUAUUGCACAAUGGGGGAAACCCUGAUGCAGCGACGCCGCGUGGAGGAAGAAGGUCUUCGGAUUGUAAACUCCUGUUGUUGGGGAAGAUAAUGACGGUACCCAACAAGGAAGUGACGGCUAACUACGUGCCAGCAGCCGCGGUAAAACGUAGGUCACAAGCGUUGUCCGGAAUUACUGGGUGUAAAGGGAGCGCAGGCGGGAAGACAAGUUGGAAGUGAAAUCUAUGGGCUCAACCCAUAAACUGCUUUCAAAACUGUUUUUCUUGAGUAGUGCAGAGGUAGGCGGAAUUCCUAGUGUAGCGGUGAAAUGCGUAGAUAUUAGGAGGAACACCAGUGGCGAAGGCGGAUUGCUGGACGACAACUGACGGUGAGGCGCGAAAGCGUGGGGAGCAAACAGGAUUAGAUACCCUGGUAGUCCACGCUGUAAACGAUGAAUACUAGGUGUGCGGGGACUGACCCCCUGCGUGCCGCAGUUAACACAAUAAGUAUUCCACCUGGGGAGUACGAUCGCAAGGUUGAAACUCAAAGGAAUUGACGGGGGCCCGCACAAGCGGUGGAUUAUGUGGUUUAAUUCGAAGCAACGCGAAGAACCUUACCAGGGCUUGACAUCCUACUAACGAAGUAGAGAUACAUCAGGUGCCCUUCGGGGAAAGUAGAGACAGGUGGUGCAUGGUUGUCGUCAGCUCGUGUCGUGAGAUGUUGGGGUUAAGUCCCGCAACGAGCGCAACCCCUAUUGUUAGUUGCUACGCAAGAGCACUCUAGCGAGACUGCCGUUGACAAAACGGAGGAAGGUGGGGACGACGUCAAAUCAUCAUGCCCCUUAUGUCCUGGGCUACACACGUAAUACAAUGGCGGUCAACAGAGGGAUGCAAUACCGUAAGGUGGAGCGAACCCCUAAAAGCCGUCCCAGUUCAGAUUGUGGGCUGCAACCCGCCCACAUGAAGUCGGAAUCGCUAGUAAUCGCGGAUCAGCAUGCCGCGGUGAAUACGUUCCC